AUAACGAAUGGGGGGACAACACAACACAACCUUGACCUUGAGUUUGACCCCGCCCAUUUUCCCUCUCUUUCUUUCAAGGCCACUCGUUCUCUCUCUUACUUUUCAAGGCCAACCCCUCCCACUUCCCCCACCACUUCAAGGCCAAGGCAUUAUUGGACCUUGAUGUUUUCAAGGUCAAGGUUAUUCAUGCUACUCCCCACUUUUUCAAGGCCAACAACUCCUCACUCAUUCAAGAUGAAUCGCGCAAUUGUCCUUACUCAUUUUCCACCCCAAACUGUAUAAAAGAUAAUGUGUUGUGUUGUGUAACACAGUUCUUGUGUAUAUCUACUAUAACAAGAAAUUCUUUAAAAAUGGAACCCAUCAGAAAAAGUUCUAUUUAUAAUACUCCUGAGGAUAUCAUAGUUUGUCCAUACGACAAAAACCACAUUCUUCUUUGGUUUCGGCUCGAAAGGCACAUAUGGAAGUGCCAUCGGGCCGAUAAAGAAAAACAAAGGGCCUUACAUGAAGUGAUGAUGAAGGAAGAAGAGGAGAACUGGGAUCAUUUCAAUGAGCCCAGCUACCUCGACUUCUUAAAAUCUAAAAGGAAUCAUAAUGCCUUAAAUUAAAGAAGGUCGGGGUUCUUUCGUAAAAAUAGUGUAGAAUAAGUUUAGCAAAGUAGUAGUAGUCGUAGUAAACUGUAAAUAUUAUAUUAUUGUAUAAAAAAAAUAAAAGUUGUAAAAAAAAGCUACAUGUUUUUAUGUACACCUAUUUCAACCUACUGAUACAAGUAAGUGUGACCUGCAAGCAGAGAGUCGCUCACUGUUUCAAGACCACUCAUUCCCUCUUUAUCUUUGAUGUUUUCAUCUCACUUUUUCUCAUUAUCUCACUUUUUCAAGGCCACAAUAUUGAUGCAUUUUCAUUCAAGGUUAAAAAGUGGGGGUAUAGUUAAUAUAUAGAAUUUAGUACAAGUUUGAUAGCAGUCAGUACUGAUUUAAUCCUCCGAGAAAUAAUAAUAUAAAAAAAGUGCAUAUAUCUGUGUUAAUGUCUAAGAGUAUUCGCUGCUGGGUCAUGGAUGUAUUGAAUCGAAUCGCUCGAUGCGGACAGAAACCCAUUUUAAAAGCUGGUGAGCUAGAGUUGAACACAAGAUUCCGCAUACAUAAUAUUAGACGCACAAAGUCUCUGUUCGGAAAUUCAGUGCUUGUUGAGUUGGACAAUUAUGCAGUGUUUCUGCCGAGAAGAAUAAGUGAUUAUUUAACUGAGGAGAAAAUUGAUGAGUUAUUACGAGAUCCACGUCCACUAUAUUUAAUAUAUUUGGGAAAAGAAGAUGCUAGAAACCCGACAUCUGCACAUUGUUUUGAGUUUCAACGUGUUGAUGAUGAAAUAUUAGGUGAGUGAACAUAAUGUAAAAUGGAGGAUGAAAAGAAAUUAAAGAAAUGUAUAUUUCAUUUACAGUUAACGAGAGUGCCGAAGAGUAGGAUGAAAUUAUCGGAAAAAGACUUAUGUGUGUGAAGUAGUGUGCGUUUUGUGCUAGUGAUAGUUUCUUAAAAUAAAUGAAUAAAAAUCAUGUGUCUAGACGAUGGACAAUAUGAAAAAUGUUUAUACGAGUGUUUUGAUAAAAGACUGUUAUCAUAUAAGAACUGGGUACAUUCAUACCCAUCUCCAUGGAGUUUAGCAAAAGCGGGAUUGUUUUAUAUUCAAAUAUCUGAUUGUACCCAGUGUUUUGUUUGUGGAGUAAUAAUUUCACGAUGGGAAAAAAGUGAUGAUGCGUUUAUGGAGCAUAAAAAACAUUCUCCAAAAUGUGGAUAUGUGAAAUUGCUUUCCACAGACAAAACUACAAUUCAAAAAUUCAAAUUAGUUACUAAAAAUAGCAUUGUUGUAGUUUUAUUUUUUAUAGUAUUUGUAUUCAUGUAUUAUUUAUGGGCGUCUUCUUAUGCAUAGGUAAUGUGAUGCAGACUUGUUAACCUUGAUCAGUGUCGGGCGCGCGCCAAAGGUGAGGUAAACUAAAGGUUUCAAGAGACGUCUUGAUUUAAUUAGUUUAUAAUUAAAUAAGUGGUAGAAUAAUAUGGAGGAUUUAUAAUAGAUUUAAGGAUAUUUAAUGUACUACCUAUAAUAUUGAUGAAAUAAAGUGUUUUAAUUGA
Tribolium castaneum (red flour beetle) is the source of this 2117-nucleotide long non-coding RNA. RefSeq lists it as uncharacterized. Lineage: Eukaryota; Metazoa; Arthropoda; Insecta; Coleoptera; Tenebrionidae. The record is from RefSeq and is a predicted model, not a curated record. The transcript is spliced from 3 exons.